Gekko japonicus is the source of this 152-nucleotide long non-coding RNA. RefSeq lists it as uncharacterized. Lineage: Eukaryota; Metazoa; Chordata; Lepidosauria; Squamata; Gekkonidae. The transcript has 3 exons. The record is from RefSeq and is a predicted model, not a curated record.
CGGGGAGUCACAGUGAUGAAGCUGACAGAAGACAGGGAAGUCAUCCGACGGGGCCUUGCCAUUCUGCGGCGAGAAAUGCCCGGAGGCGACACGUUCAUGCAUGAAGGCUUGAAAAGGGCAAAUGAACAGAUUUACCAGGAAAACCAUGGAGG